UUACUUUCACAAUUAUUUUCUUAUGUACUUGAGAAUACUAAGAAUGACUAUGAUUGGACUACUCUGCAAACAGUUCAACAAGUUGGCAGCCCUUCUCUACUUCAACUUUAAGUUCCUCAAGCAGUUCUGCCACAUCUAAUAAACUUGUGUUCGGACUGCGUAGAAAGUGCAACGAGUUGGCAGCCCCGCUCCCAUAUGCCAGAAUACGGACAUGAUUAAUUGUUUGCUUUUUUUUGUAGCUUUUAUAGCUUUGCAUAUUUCACUCUUGCUUUCUGCCUCGCCCGCCUCACCUCGCUGCCUGCUGUUGUCCAUCUUUUGUUUCCCUCACUUUUAAAAUAACUCUUUUUUUUUGUUGUGUUGUAAAACGAAACGCAAUGCAACUGAAAUCAUGCAAAAGAGCAACAGCAACAGCAACAACAAUAGCAAUAGCAAGAACAACAACGACAACAGCAGCCAGCUUUGGCCGCAUGCUGCGGUGAGCCGCACACAUCAACAGCCAGCCAACAGGCAGCUGGGAAAGCAGAGAGAGAGAUAGAGGGAGAGAGCGACGCAGGGAGUCAGUCCGCCAUGGCCAGGCAAAACAGCAACAAUAAUAACAAACGAAACAACAAUAAAAAUGGUUGACCAGGCGAAAGUUAUUUACUGCAAAUCGGCGAAGUGAAGCGCAGAUCGCAGCUGACGACGCAACGCAACACAACGAGGGGUAAGAAGAGGAAGAAGGGGCAGCAACUGGCAACAUUUGCCCCAAUUUCCUGGCUGGCUUUAAAUAUGCUUCAAA
This is a long non-coding RNA of Drosophila nasuta, 778 nucleotides long. RefSeq lists it as uncharacterized. NCBI's taxonomy places the organism in Eukaryota, Metazoa, Arthropoda, Insecta, Diptera, Drosophilidae. The transcript has 3 exons. The record is from RefSeq and is a predicted model, not a curated record.